UUAAAGAAUUUGAAGGAUUCAUUUUGUAGAUUUGAAGACUUCAACUUGCAUACUUGAAUAAUUUGAAGACUUCAGCU
RNAcentral lists this microRNA precursor (77 nucleotides) under Solanum lycopersicum (tomato). Its description in RNAcentral is "MIR8024 microRNA precursor family". It matches the Rfam family "MIR8024 microRNA precursor family". Lineage: Eukaryota; Viridiplantae; Streptophyta; Magnoliopsida; Solanales; Solanaceae. The record is from Rfam by way of RNAcentral.